This 468-nucleotide ribosomal RNA is filed under the name uncultured bacterium. Its description in RNAcentral is "partial 16S ribosomal RNA". It matches the Rfam family "Bacterial small subunit ribosomal RNA", at positions 28 to 508 of the family's 1533-position model. The record is from RNAcentral.
GACGAACGCUGGCGGCGUGCUUAACACAUGCAAGUCGAACGGAAAGGCCCUGCUUUUGUGGGGUGCUCGAGUGGCGAACGGGUGAGUAACACGUGAGUAACCUGCCCUUGACUUUGGGAUAACUUCAGGAAACUGGGGCUAAUACCGGAUAGGAGCUCCUGCUGCAUGGUGGGGGUUGGAAAGUUUCGGCGGUUGGGGAUGGACUCGCGGCUUAUCAGCUUGUUGGUGGGGUAGUGGCUUACCAAGGCUUUGACGGGUAGCCGGCCUGAGAGGGUGACCGGCAACUUUGGGCCUGAGAUAGGGCCAGGACCCCUAGGGGGGGAAGGAGGGGGAAAUAUUGCACAAGGGGGGGAAGCCGGAGGCAGCACCCCCGCGUGGGGGAGGCCGGCUUGGGGGUUGAAAACCGCUUUCGCCGGGGACGAAGGGGGAGUGAGGGAAAGGGGAAAAGAAGCCCCGGCAAACUACGGC